This 2907-nucleotide long non-coding RNA is filed under the name Solanum lycopersicum (tomato). Its description in RNAcentral is "long non-coding RNA (SLYC_LNC000655)". The record is from RNAcentral. Lineage: Eukaryota; Viridiplantae; Streptophyta; Magnoliopsida; Solanales; Solanaceae.
GAAGUAAUGGUCUAGGUUUCAAGGAAUGAUCUUUUCCACUCAAUUUUGUGAAGAAUCUUCGUAAGGUAUGGUAGCUUAUUAUUUAUGGGUAUCCUUCACCCUAGAGCCCCUUCAAAGUUCAAUUCCAAAACUAGUGUUUUCCCCCAAAAGGUUAGGCUUUAACUCUUAGUCAUGGAUUCUGUUUCAAAACAUUUUCAAUGGUUGAUUUAUGAUGAAUUGUUACUAUAUAGAUGAAAUAUUGCAGGUUUAUGAUGAAUUUCUCUUAUAACCCAUGAAAUUCCAAAUUUUAUUUGUUUGGAUCUUAAGUUUGGGUAUUGUUGUAUAUUUAUCUAACUAAGUAAAUAAUCGCUCUUUAUGGUGCAAUUACAUUAUUUUAGUAUUAUCAUACGUAUAAUCUUGAUUAACCUAAGAUUCUAGCGUGAAAUUGAUAUAGUUAGUAUUAUGCAAAGAAGAUGGCAUUGAGGGCCUAGAUGUGACCUUCUAAGAUUGAUAAACUUAUGUUGCAUGAGGUUAGAACAUCUAGAUAUGAAUCUCUUAAAAGUAAAGCUUAUAGACAUGAAUUGAUUUGAUUGGGGCUUAUAGGAUGAAUCAUGGUUGAGAAAUAAUGAGAUGGAGUUUAUAUGUUGCUAUAUGACUAUAAUUGGUGAAGAAUGAAGCAUGUAGUUAGAUUACCUUAAGGAUUAGGUAUACAUGAUGAUCUCUUGAGGCAUUGCUUGAGAGUGAGGCUUAUAAAAUGAACAUGACUCCAAGGGCUUUAAGGGUAAAAGUUAUUAUGAAUAAGCUAAGCAUAUUAAGGAUUCAAGAAGAAAGCUAUUAUGUAUGUUAAAUUGUACAUGGCAUUAUUGUGGAAGGAGUUGAUCCACAUGACCUAUAAUACGAGUACAUGAGAUUGAGUAUAUACAAAUUGAAUUGCUUGAAUUGUGGUUAUAUCCAUGUCUAAUGUAGUGAAUUCUAAAUAUGUUGAUUUAAUCUGAUCUAUGAUUCUUGAAUGCAAAAUAUGAGAAUUAUUCAUGAUUGGCAAUAUUAUGUACAUGCUUUAUAAACAUUUUGAAAAAGAAGUGCCUAUGAUGAUGGUAUUUUGGUAGUGUCAUUGAAAGAACAACCUAACACACGCACUCCAUGCAUGAAUGUGAUUAUGAUGUAAUAUGGUGUUGUUGAAAGGUCAUGCUCAUAUACACCCUUACACUUGGCUAUGCAUAAAAUGUUUAUGACUAUAACGAUGACAAUGUUGUUGUGUUGAUUGAAAGACUUUUCUCAUGAACACAGUAUGAACAUGAUAUGAAGGCUUACUCACAUAUUAAUGAUUGUAAGGUUGAAAGGUCAUUCUCACCUAAUGAAUUUAUGAGUUGUAUCAUGAUGUUGUUGUGGAUUGAGAGUUAAGUCACUCUUCCAUAAACAUGAUCUUAUGUCAAGAUUUUACAUGAACUUGAAGGGAAUUAUGUCUAGCGCCAAGUGGAUAUGAAUAUGACAUGAAAGCUUUUACACCAGUUGGUCUGACUUUCAAAAUAAAAGCUUUUACGUCAGUUAGUUUGGGUUUCUAAAUAGGUUCCUUUUACCUAGUCAAUCCGAGUUCCCAAACAGUUAUCUCAUGAGAUGAAAACUUUUACCUUAGUCCGGAUUUCUAGUUUAAAUCUCCUUAUCCCAAAACUAUGUUCCCACAUAGGUCUUUAGCUAGUGGAUUCACCUAAGUUAACAAACUAUUUCUACCUUAGGCAAGUUGGACAUCUCUUUUCGGUGUGGGGGCAUGAAACCAAAUUUCAUGUAGCUCAACAUGGUCUAUGUCAGUUAAGAAACAAAAACAUGAACUAUGAACAAGAACAUGAGUCAUGUACUAUGAUUCCUCAAGAAUAUCUACUUAAUGUGAGUAGGGGUAUGAGACUUCAUUCAUACAUUACACAAGUAGGUUUUGAGAGUGGUCAUGAUAUAUUUCUCUUAUGACAUGAUUAUUUAUAAUUUAAUGCAUGCUUUAUAUGAAUUAUGAACAUGAACAUGAACUAUAUGUGUGACUUCUCAAGGAGCUCUACUUAGUGUGACUAGGGGGUAUGAGACUUCAUUCAUGAGUUGCACAAGCAGGUUUUGAAAGGGUUACGGUGUGAUUUUCUUAUGAUAUAAAGAUAUGUGAGUUUAUGCAUGUAUGAUAUGGAUUGUUUCUAAGAGUGGAUUUCCUUGUUAUAAGCUAUAAAUAUGAAUGUUUCCUUGUCUAUGAGUAUUAACUAUGGAUGAGAUCAAAGCAUGAUAAGUGUUAGCAUUGUGGGCUAAAUAGGGUACUUGGUGUAGAUGGGACAAAGGGAUCUUAUCUAUGCAUUUCACAAAUAUAACUUAGGGUUACUUAAGUGAUGGUUCUAUUAUGAUGAGAUGAUCUUGAUAUUUAACUAUGUAUGUGAAUUAUGUUUUAUGAUUAUUGGGGCAUACAUUAUGUUUAUGUUAUAGGUUAUGCUUGUGAUUGUUGAUAUCCUUUAUGUUAUGAUGAAUUGUACAUGAGUUUUCUUAUGAGCUACAUUCCCUAACUAUUUCAAAAAUCAUGUUCAAAAUUGGCAUAUAGAAUGGUUUCAACUAAAUAUCACGUUUAGGAUGUUUUAAGGAUUUUUAUGCAUGUCUAUCAUACUUUGUGCAUUUUUAUACUAACUCAUAUUUCUACUUUUGCUACAAGUGUAGGUCGUUCAGGUGUGCUUCUUCUAGUGUUCAAAGCUUGGAUUGAUUCUCUCUACACUUUUGGUGAGUCCUCAUAGUUUGAGGACAAAAGUUGUUCAUUUUGAAUGUCUUUCUUACAUUCUUUUUUGAGACUAUGUUGUAAAUGGUUGUGACCCUUAUUGAUACUAGAUUGUAUUAGAUGGGUUGUUGAGAAAUUUUUUAGACUUCCAUUUGUUUUUAUGAAAGACUUCGAUCAUAAAAAAAUUUCAAAUUCCG